Long non-coding RNA from Gymnodraco acuticeps, 414 nucleotides. RefSeq lists it as uncharacterized. The transcript is spliced from 3 exons. The record is from RefSeq and is a predicted model, not a curated record. NCBI's taxonomy places the organism in Eukaryota, Metazoa, Chordata, Actinopteri, Perciformes, Bathydraconidae.
AAUGGGAAUGUUCUGUUACCACCCAUUUAUAAGCUUUCUUUUCUGUUUGUUUCCUUAAAAUCAAGCUCUUGGCCAACCUGUUCGCCAUUAUUCCACUGUUGGUGGUUCUGCAGUUCUGCAGUGUUCAAAAGUUGGUGGUUCCACCAGUUUGACAAUAUUCAACCAGUUAUAUGUUCCAGUUUUCAAUUUUCUUGAAUGUCCUUGUCUAAACAGCUGUGUGUUAUCCCCCAUUAGACAAGUUGCUCUGCUUGUGUCACCUGGACCCUGGAGAGAAUUCUGUGCAAACGACAUUCAAGGCAUACCAAGACAACGGGCCUCCAACAACUGUGGGGUGUUUGUGCUCAUGUAUGCCCUCUACUUUGUGAUGGAGUCAGCUUUUGAUUUCAGUGAGGUAGGCCACAGAGAUACACUUUU